Long non-coding RNA from Sciurus carolinensis (gray squirrel), 924 nucleotides. RefSeq lists it as uncharacterized. Lineage: Eukaryota; Metazoa; Chordata; Mammalia; Rodentia; Sciuridae. The transcript is spliced from 3 exons. The record is from RefSeq and is a predicted model, not a curated record.
CGGCUCUGCAGGUCGGCCUCCCAGCCUCCUGCGAAAAAGAACAAACCCAACCAAACACGAGACCUGGUUGCAACAUUUUCCGCCAGCUUUAGCGGAGGAGCGGAGGAGCGCUCUCAUCAGAAUGUUUUGGUUUGCUGAGAACACGUGCACCUCUUCCUUGAGAGACAGAACCCUUUUUGUGCAAUGACCUCAACAGCCCUUUCCCUUCACCUGCAGGUGGGGAGGACGGAGAGGCAGCUCCUUUGGAAAGAGGAGAAAACCCAGGUACAGAGACGUCUGGUAACUUUCCUGAGAUGUUCAGCAGAAGCAACGGAGCUAAGAUGGAAAUCCAGUCCACAGGAUUAUCCAGCUUUCCGUCAGGUGACAAAUGCCUGAGAAGAACACUCAGAGGACAAGGGAAAAGUCCGAGUCUCGGCUUCAGAGGUUCAGUCCGUGGUGUCUGCUCCCUUGCUCUGGGCCUGAGGUGAGGCAGGACAUCACGGCAAACAGCACGGUGAGGAAAGCUCUCAGCUCAUGGCAGCCAGGAAGCGAGAGAGGGACGGGCCAAGGGAGAAAUAUAAAGCCCCAGGACACCCCCAGCGGCCCACUUCCUUCAACCAGGUGCCAGCUCCUGCAGUUCCCAGGGAUGGCGUCCAGUGAUUACCCACUGAUGAGCUCAGAGCCCUCCCCACGUCACUCCCCAGGAACAGGGCUGCACUGGGGACCAAGCCUGCAGCACAUGUGGGGGUCACUUAUCUCCAAACCAUAAUGGACAUUUUCUGAUACUCUUCAGCACGUCAUUCCUUCAUAAAACUGAAAAAUAAAGUGAGUAAAAUAUCACGUGUGGGUCCUCGGUCCCUGGCGUAAGCAUUGAUCUAUCUGUGAAGGAAAGAGCACAUUUUCUUUAUUUUCUGGUAGUAAUUCAUCAUUUAACCUAAAUAAUAU